AUUUGGAGAUUGCCAUCCACCAUCCACUUUUCUCACCCAUUCUUAUAUUUUAAAUUAUCUUAUUCUUCUCUAAUGCAUGAGUGAAUGAUAGAAAAUAUUAUUUUGUAACAUACUAUUGAAAGAUACUCUUUGUGUGAUAAUACAAAUCAUAUCAAGGUUUUUCAAAGUACCCUGAAGGGGAUUCGUUGGUUAUUUCAUUUGCAUCCGAUUAGUGGGGGCGAAUCGAACUUAAAGAUCCCACAGAAGACGUGAUCUACGAGUUCUCCUAUUCACACCACUUAACUUUUCAUUCCAGAGUAGUUACAUGUAUAUAUAAACAUCCUCGCUUAAAUAAUUCCAGUUGGACAUGAGUUAUUAAGAUUACCAAACAUUUUAUGUACAGACGAGUGAAGGAUGAGCUACAUGGGCAUCAUCAACACUCGAACAUUGUAGUGUGAUGUCUAUGUGAUGCUAGGGCCUAGCGUUGUCAUUUUAGUCCUAGAGUGACACUAAGGGAACCUAAGGUUAAAGACACUCCAGUUGUUCCUCUUUUACCCUAUGUCUGCCUUUUGUUAGUCCCACAAUUAUGAUAGUGUGUCAAUAUCUUGUCAUUUAAUUUACUAUCGAUGAUUGUAUCUUGAUAUUUGAUACCUCUUUACACAUGAAUAUCCUUUGACUAAGAACACAAAAGCUAUCGAUGGAUACGUUUGUACUAUGUAUAUCCAUUGUUUCAAUUAUUUCAUAAUUUUAUGCAAUUAAGUAAAA
Non-coding RNA from Cicer arietinum (chickpea), 744 nucleotides. The record is from RefSeq and is a predicted model, not a curated record. Lineage: Eukaryota; Viridiplantae; Streptophyta; Magnoliopsida; Fabales; Fabaceae.